AAUCAGGGCAGUUUAUUUCCACGAAAAUUUCACAGUUUCUCUUUAACGAGCUGUAAUCUUAUGCAUAAUCUUGUUAGGUCUCAUCACGAGACGCAUGCAGGCCAUUUUCGAAAUAAUUAUCAGUCACUUCUAAAUGGUUCCUAUGACAACAACAUUACAAGUCAUGGACAUUGAUAAUAGUGCUAGUGUUGUAACAACAGAGUGAUUAAAAUUAUAAUCAUUUAAAAACGGAUCGUUAUUAGUGUUGAAAAUCAAGGACAAGGAGAAAAAGUUGUUUUCUUUCUCGGUGCCAUUUACAACCAAUAGGUGGCAGCACUGUUCCUUUCCAAUUAAAAAAUUCCGAUGUCGUAAAUUGGCCUGAACGUGUGAGCAAGUUUGGGUUCUAGUUUUGAUAUGAACGUUCAUUCGGAAUCGGAACUAGGAAAAUGAUAGAUAAUAAAACCAUAAAAAAUUAUUGAUUCGUAGUUAAAACGUAUUCGGCACACAAAUGGAUGUUGGUGUGAAAAUGGCAGGUUUUCCUGACUUGAGAACAGUAGGUGUUACAAUCAAGAGGUGGCAGCUGGCGUUCGCAACGUUUCGUAAACAAUAGCUCGAAACCAUCAACAAGAAAAGAAAAUAUAUGUACUAUAUCUUUCCGAAUAGCGUGAUCCACCGAUAUCCGCAUGAUGUCGAGCGAUGAAUACCGACUGCAAUCCCGACAUUAGCAUGCCAAGAGCAAACCGAAUAAUGCCGUUGACCUUAAUUGGAGGACCGAUGCAGUCGAAAACAUUCUAAAAAUGGCUGAUGAAAAUAUUGAUCAGAUGUAUCGUGUAAAUAAGACACACACACACACACACACAAAGAGAUUGAAAAGUAAUAUCGCCUUGGCCAACUGACGUCGUUUUAUGCUACAAUAACAUCGCUUUUGUAAGAGCUACAAACGAAUACCUACGUUCAUAUGAGAAGAAGUAGAAGAAGCCAUAAGACCUUGACGACAAUUGCUGUCUGCGAAGUGAAACUUUGAAAGAAAAAAGGGGACAAAAAAUCGUAUGGAAGAGGCACGUCUGCUGGUCGCUUUACUGCAACAACCUCAUUAGCUCAAGAGCAUAUGGGCUCGAGGGCUAUUUUUCAGCUUUUUUUGUGUUUGUUACGUCGCCAGCAGACGCUAUUUGGGAUUGCGGUUUAAACUGGUGGCGGCAUUCGACGGAAAGAACAAUUCACACCGCUUUCGAAACGGCUUGUACACGAAAAACAAAUGCGAGCGUAAAAACUGAUGAUCAGUGCAGCUGCUUUGAACUUGACUUUGGCAGAUUGCGUCAGAAGAGAAUAUCAAAGAGUUGCUGUUUGUCGCCAACAGCCGACAACAAUAAUGGCUUUCACGUUCGCCUUUGUGUGCAGCAGAGACAGGUGCGUCAUGGAGACUCUUGAGGAUUGCUGCCGCACAUGUUAGGUCGUGCUACAUCCAGCUGGUCCUAAUGAAGAUCAAGAACGAAAGCAAAUUGGCUACAUAUUGCGUGCAUGCCACGUAACCAUCAGCGAACACGUCCGGGUCAUCGUCUUUUUGGCCGCCUACUCAUCUGAGAAAAAAUCAGCUCAAUAUUUCAAGUCCCGAUGGACACUGUGGGGGGACAGGACGUUUUUCCGUGCUUGUUACAUCAUUCGGCUGAUGCUUUUACAUCAUAUGGCAUAGUGGCCUUCUUGGUUAAACAAACUGCACAGUCAACUGGCAUGGGAAGAAAGAGCGACCGCAGUUUUGCAGAGCCAUUUUGGAAAGAAAAAACAAAACAAAAACGGCCGAGUAUUUCCCCAUUCGCAGACCGCGCAGCCUUUUUGUUGUUGCGUCUUUGCUUAUGUGCUAGGAAAAUGACAAGUUACAUCACCGGGAAAUGAUCACGCAGGCAUGCAGAAUAUCGGUGAUAUUGGAUACGUGCAAAAGAGCGUAGGCAGACACUUUGCUUGUAAAUCGCAUCGUUCAGCAGCUUGCCUAUGGUGUUGUAAAAUAAAUGUCGUGAAGUAAAAAGGCGGCAAUUUCGAAUACUGAUGACAACCUUGGUGGCUAUUAUAGUCUGCGUCUUGAAUAAUGGAUGCAUCCAAGCAAGAGAACCUCCGUCAAUCUACUUUUGAUAGGCUGCCUUGAUUGCCUGAUUUUUAAUCGCUUUAUCCGUUGAUUCUGUUCAUGGUUCUCAAGAUGCGCUAUCCAGCAAGUCAUAAAACGACGAAGACGAUCGUCAAAGUCUUCCGCAUUUUAUAAUGUGAUGCACGAAAAAUGUAAGGGAGGAAAAAAAGAAAAAAACUAGAAUUCAAAUAAAAUAAAGUCAGAAACAAGAAAAACAACUCACGAUGCGCAAAGGCCUACGAUUGUAUUGAUUUCCUCCCGGGCUCGCGCAGCAGCAGCAGUAACACACGUACACAAAUAGAUACACUCAAGUACAACACAAGUAUCAUCAUUUAGUGUGUUGAGACGUUUUUUUUUUAUUAUUAUUUUAUUUUUUUUGUUGUUGGAAUAUUUCACCUAGAAAUAACAAGAACAACA
Molecule: long non-coding RNA, 2512 nt
Organism: Daphnia magna
Lineage: Eukaryota; Metazoa; Arthropoda; Branchiopoda; Diplostraca; Daphniidae
Exons: 3
Source: RefSeq, a predicted model, not a curated record